GACGAACGCUGGCGGCGUGCUUAACACAUGCAAGUCGAACGGAAAGGCCCUGCUUUUGUGGGGUGCUCGAGUGGCGAACGGGUGAGUAACACGUGCGUAACCUGCCCUUGACUUUGGGAUAACUUCAGGAAACUGGGGCUAAUACCGGAUAGGAGCUCCUGCUGCAUGGUGGGGGUUGGAAAGUUUCGGCGGUUGGGGAUGGACUCGCGGCUUAGCAGCUGGUUGGGGGGGGAGUGGCUUACCAAGGCGUUGACGGGUAGCCGGCCUGAGAGGGUGACCGGCGACAUUGGGACUGCGGUACGGACCAGUAGGCUACGGGAGGCAGCAGUGGGGAAUAUUGCGCAAUGGGGGGGAGCGUGAUGCAGCAACGUCGCGUGCGGGAUGCCGGCCUUCGGGUUGUGAACCGCUUUGGGCUGUGAUGAAGCGUGAGUGACGGUAACGGGUAAAGAAGCCCCGGCUAACUACGUG
RNAcentral lists this ribosomal RNA (468 nucleotides) under uncultured bacterium. RNAcentral describes it as "partial 16S ribosomal RNA". It matches the Rfam family "Bacterial small subunit ribosomal RNA", at positions 28 to 507 of the family's 1533-position model. The record is from RNAcentral.